RNAcentral lists this ribosomal RNA (253 nucleotides) under uncultured bacterium. Its description in RNAcentral is "partial 16S ribosomal RNA". It matches the Rfam family "Bacterial small subunit ribosomal RNA", at positions 524 to 776 of the family's 1533-position model. The record is from RNAcentral.
UACGUAGGGUCCGAGCGUUGUCCGGAAUUACUGGGCGUAAAGAGCUCGUAGGUGGUUUGUCGCGUUGUUCGUGAAAACUCACAACUCAAUUGUGGGCGUGCGGGCGAUACGGGCAGACUAGAGUACUGCAGGGGAGACUGGAAUUCCUGGUGUAGCGGUGAAAUGCGCAGAUAUCAGGAGGAACACCGGUGGCGAAGGCGGGUCUCUGGGUAGUAACUGACGCUGAGGAACGAAAGCGUGGGUAGCGAACAGG